This 2864-nucleotide ribosomal RNA is filed under the name Escherichia coli. RNAcentral's name for it is "bacterial LSU rRNA". It matches the Rfam family "Bacterial large subunit ribosomal RNA". The record is from RNAcentral. Lineage: Bacteria; Pseudomonadati; Pseudomonadota; Gammaproteobacteria; Enterobacterales; Enterobacteriaceae.
UUAAGCGACUAAGCGUACACGGUGGAUGCCCUGGCAGUCAGAGGCGAUGAAGGACGUGCUAAUCUGCGAUAAGCGUCGGUAAGGUGAUAUGAACCGUUAUAACCGGCGAUUUCCGAAUGGGGAAACCCAGUGUGUUUCGACACACUAUCAUUAACUGAAUCCAUAGGUUAAUGAGGCGAACCGGGGGAACUGAAACAUCUAAGUACCCCGAGGAAAAGAAAUCAACCGAGAUUCCCCCAGUAGCGGCGAGCGAACGGGGAGGAGCCCAGAGCCUGAAUCAGUGUGUGUGUUAGUGGAAGCGUCUGGAAAGGCGCGCGAUACAGGGUGACAGCCCCGUACACAAAAAUGCACAUACUGUGAGCUCGAUGAGUAGGGCGGGACACGUGGUAUCCUGUCUGAAUAUGGGGGGACCAUCCUCCAAGGCUAAAUACUCCUGACUGACCGAUAGUGAACCAGUACCGUGAGGGAAAGGCGAAAAGAACCCCGGCGAGGGGAGUGAAAAAGAACCUGAAACCGUGUACGUACAAGCAGUGGGAGCCUCUUUUAUGGGGUGACUGCGUACCUUUUGUAUAAUGGGUCAGCGACUUAUAUUCUGUAGCAAGGUUAACCGAAUAGGGGAGCCGAAGGGAAACCGAGUCUUAACUGGGCGUUAAGUUGCAGGGUAUAGACCCGAAACCCGGUGAUCUAGCCAUGGGCAGGUUGAAGGUUGGGUAACACUAACUGGAGGACCGAACCGACUAAUGUUGAAAAAUUAGCGGAUGACUUGUGGCUGGGGGUGAAAGGCCAAUCAAACCGGGAGAUAGCUGGUUCUCCCCGAAAGCUAUUUAGGUAGCGCCUCGUGAAUUCAUCUCCGGGGGUAGAGCACUGUUUCGGCAAGGGGGUCAUCCCGACUUACCAACCCGAUGCAAACUGCGAAUACCGGAGAAUGUUAUCACGGGAGACACACGGCGGGUGCUAACGUCCGUCGUGAAGAGGGAAACAACCCAGACCGCCAGCUAAGGUCCCAAAGUCAUGGUUAAGUGGGAAACGAUGUGGGAAGGCCCAGACAGCCAGGAUGUUGGCUUAGAAGCAGCCAUCAUUUAAAGAAAGCGUAAUAGCUCACUGGUCGAGUCGGCCUGCGCGGAAGAUGUAACGGGGCUAAACCAUGCACCGAAGCUGCGGCAGCGACNGAAGGUGUGCUGUGAGGCAUGCUGGAGGUAUCAGAAGUGCGAAUGCUGACAUAAGUAACGAUAAAGCGGGUGAAAAGCCCGCUCGCCGGAAGACCAAGGGUUCCUGUCCAACGUUAAUCGGGGCAGGGUGAGUCGACCCCUAAGGCGAGGCCGAAAGGCGUAGUCGAUGGGAAACAGGUUAAUAUUCCUGUACUUGGUGUUACUGCGAAGGGGGGACGGAGAAGGCUAUGUUGGCCGGGCGACGGUUGUCCCGGUUUAAGCGUGUAGGCUGGUUUUCCAGGCAAAUCCGGAAAAUCAAGGCUGAGGCGUGAUGACGAGGCACUACGGUGCUGAAGCAACAAAUGCCCUGCUUCCAGGAAAAGCCUCUAAGCAUCAGGUAACAUCAAAUCGUACCCCAAACCGACACAGGUGGUCAGGUAGAGAAUACCAAGGCGCUUGAGAGAACUCGGGUGAAGGAACUAGGCAAAAUGGUGCCGUAACUUCGGGAGAAGGCACGCUGAUAUGUAGGUGAAGCGACUUGCUCGUGGAGCUGAAAUCAGUCGAAGAUACCAGCUGGCUGCAACUGUUUAUUAAAAACACAGCACUGUGCAAACACGAAAGUGGACGUAUACGGUGUGACGCCUGCCCGGUGCCGGAAGGUUAAUUGAUGGGGUUAGCGGUAACGCGAAGCUCUUGAUCGAAGCCCCGGUAAACGGCGGCCGUAACUAUAACGGUCCUAAGGUAGCGAAAUUCCUUGUCGGGUAAGUUCCGACCUGCACGAAUGGCGUAAUGAUGGCCAGGCUGUCUCCACCCGAGACUCAGUGAAAUUGAACUCGCUGUGAAGAUGCAGUGUACCCGCGGCAAGACGGAAAGACCCCGUGAACCUUUACUAUAGCUUGACACUGAACAUUGAGCCUUGAUGUGUAGGAUAGGUGGGAGGCUUUGAAGUGUGGACGCCAGUCUGCAUGGAGCCGACCUUGAAAUACCACCCUUUAAUGUUUGAUGUUCUAACGUUGGCCCCUGAUCGGGGUUGCGGACAGUGUCUGGUGGGUAGUUUGACUGGGGCGGUCUCCUCCUAAAGAGUAACGGAGGAGCACGAAGGUUGGCUAAUCCUGGUCGGACAUCAGGAGGUUAGUGCAAUGGCAUAAGCCAGCUUGACUGCGAGCGUGACGGCGCGAGCAGGUGCGAAAGCAGGUCAUAGUGAUCCGGUGGUUCUGAAUGGAAGGGCCAUCGCUCAACGGAUAAAAGGUACUCCGGGGAUAACAGGCUGAUACCGCCCAAGAGUUCAUAUCGACGGCGGUGUUUGGCACCUCGAUGUCGGCUCAUCACAUCCUGGGGCUGAAGUAGGUCCCAAGGGUAUGGCUGUUCGCCAUUUAAAGUGGUACGCGAGCUGGGUUUAGAACGUCGUGAGACAGUUCGGUCCCUAUCUGCCGUGGGCGCUGGAGAACUGAGGGGGGCUGCUCCUAGUACGAGAGGACCGGAGUGGACGCAUCACUGGUGUUCGGGUUGUCAUGCCAAUGGCACUGCCCGGUAGCUAAAUGCGGAAGAGAUAAGUGCUGAAAGCAUCUAAGCACGAAACUUGCCCCGAGAUGAGUUCUCCCUGAGACUUUAAGUCUCCUGAAGGAACGUUGAAGACGACGACGUUGAUAGGCCGGGUGUGUAAGCGCAGCGAUGCGUUGAGCUAACCGGUACUAAUGAACCGUGAGGCUUAACCUU